AGUACCGUGAGGGAAAGGUGAAAAGCACCCCGGGAGGGGAGUGAAAUAGAACCUGAAACCGUGUGCCUACAACAAGUUCGAGCCCGUUAAUGGGUGAGAGCGUGCCUUUUGUAGAAUGAACCGGCGAGUUACGAUAUGAUGCGAGGUUAAGUUGAAGAGACGGAGCCGUAGGGAAACCGAGUCUGAAUAGGGCGCAAUAGUAUUAUGUCGUAGACCCGAAACCAUGUGACCUACCCAUGAGCAGGUUGAAGGUGAGGUAAAACUCACUGGAGGACCGAACCAGGGCACGUUGAAAAGUGCUUGGAUGACUUGUGGGUAGCGGAGAAAUUCCAAACGAACUUGGAGAUAGCUGGUUCUCUCCGAAAUAGCUUUAGGGCUAGCGUCGACAUUAAGAUUCUUGGAGGUAGAGCACUGUUUGGGUGAGGGGUCCAUCCCGGAUUACCAAUCUCAGAUAAACUCCGAAUGCCAAUGAAUUAUGGUCGGCAGUCAGACUGCGAGUGCUAAGAUCCGUAGUCGAAAGGGAAACAGCCCAGACCACCAGCUAAGGUCCCAAAAUAAUUGUUAAGUGGAAAAGGAUGUGGGGUUGCACAGACAACUAGGAUGUUAGCUUAGAAGCAGCUAUUCAUUCAAAGAGUGCGUAAUAGCUCACUAGUCGAGUGACCCUGCGCCGAAAAUGUACCGGGGCUAAAACAAUUUACCGAAGCUGUGGAUACCUUUAUAGGUAUGGUAGGAGAGCGUUCUAUGUGUGGAGAAGGUGUACCGUGAGGAGCGCUGGAACGCAUAGAAGUGAGAAUGCCGGUAUGAGUAGCGAAAGACAGGUGAGAAUCCUGUCCACCGUAAGACUAAGGUUUCCAGGGGAAGGCUCGUCCGCCCUGGGUUAGUCGGGACCUAAGGAGAGACCGAAAGGUGUAUCCGAUGGACAACAGGUUGAUAUUCCUGUACUAGAGUAUGUAGUGAAGGAGGGACGCAGUAGGCUAACUAAAGCGUGCGACUGGAAGUGCACGUCUAAGCAGUGAGGUGUGAAUUGAGUUAAAUGCUUAAUUCUGUAACAUUGAGCUGUGAUGGGGAGCGAAGUUUAGUAGCGAAGUUAGUGACGUCACACUGCCAAGAAAAGCUUCUAGCGUUAAUCAUACUCUACCCGUACCGCAAACCGACACAGGUAGUCGAGGCGAGUAGCCUCAGGUGAGCGAGAGAACUCUCGUUAAGGAACUCGGCAAAAUGACCCCGUAACUUCGGGAGAAGGGGUGCUGGCUUUAAGUCAGCCGCAGUGAAUAGGCCCAAGCAACUGUUUAUCAAAAACACAGCUCUCUGCUAAAUCGUAAGAUGAUGUAUAGGGGGUGACGCCUGCCCGGUGCUGGAAGGUUAAGAGGAGUGCUUAGCGUAAGCGAAGGUAUGAAUUGAAGCCCCAGUAAACGGCGGCCGUAACUAUAACGGUCCUAAGGUAGCGAAAUUCCUUGUCGGGUAAGUUCCGACCCGCACGAAAGGCGUAAUGAUUUGGGCACUGUCUCAACGAGAGACUCGGUGAAAUUUUAGUACCUGUGAAGAUGCAGGUUACCCGCGACAGGACGGAAAGACCCCAUGGAGCUUUACUGCAGUUUGAUAUUGAGUGUCUGUGCCACAUGUACAGGAUAGGUAGGAGCCAUAGAGAUCGGGACGCCAGUUUCGAUGGAGGCGUUGUUGGGAUACUACCCUUGUGUUAUGGCCACUCUAACCCGGUAGGUUUAUCAUCUACGGAGACAGUGUCUGACGGGCAGUUUGACUGGGGCGGUCGCCUCCUAAAAGGUAACGGAGGCGCCCAAAGGUUCCCUCAGAAUGGUUGGAAAUCAUUCGCAGAGUGUAAAGGUAUAAGGGAGCUUGACUGCGAGAGCUACAACUCGAGCAGGGACGAAAGUCGGGCUUAGUGAUCCGGUGGUUCCGUAUGGAAGGGCCAUCGCUCAACGGAUAAAAGCUACCCUGGGGAUAACAGGCUUAUCUCCCCCAAGAGUUCACAUCGACGGGGAGGUUUGGCACCUCGAUGUCGGCUCGUCGCAUCCUGGGGCUGUAGUCGGUCCCAAGGGUUGGGCUGUUCGCCCAUUAAAGCGGCACGCGAGCUGGGUUCAGAACGUCGUGAGACAGUUCGGUCCCUAUCCGUCGCGGGCGUAGGAAAUUUGAGAGGAUCUGCUCCUAGUACGAGAGGACCAGAGUGGACUUACCGCUGGUGUACCAGUUGUCUCGCCAGAGGCAUCGCUGGGUAGCUAUGUAGGGAAGGGAUAAACGCUGAAAGCAUCUAAGUGUGAAACCCACCUCAAGAUGAGAUUUCCCAUGAUUUU
This 2309-nucleotide ribosomal RNA is filed under the name metagenome. RNAcentral describes it as "bacterial LSU rRNA". It matches the Rfam family "Bacterial large subunit ribosomal RNA", at positions 497 to 2823 of the family's 2925-position model. The record is from RNAcentral.